Molecule: ribosomal RNA, 301 nt
Filed under: uncultured bacterium
Lineage: Bacteria
Description: partial 16S ribosomal RNA
Rfam family: Bacterial small subunit ribosomal RNA
Source: RNAcentral
CAGCAGCCGCGGGAAUACGGAGGGGGCUAGCGUUGUUCGGAAUUACUGGGCGUAAAGCGCACGUAGGCGGCUUGGUAAGUUAGAGGUGAAAGCCCGGAGCUCAACUCCGGAAUUGCCUUUAAGACUGCCGAGCUAGUAGGUGAGAGAGGUAAGUGGAAUUCCGAGUGUAGAGGUGAAGUUCGUAGAUAUUCGGAAGAACACCAGUGGCGAAGGCGGCUUACUGGCUCAUUCUAGACGCUGAGGUGCGAAAGCGUGGGGAGCAAACAGGAUUAGAUACCCCAGUAGUCCCUGUCUCUUAUAC